RNAcentral lists this long non-coding RNA (1570 nucleotides) under Homo sapiens (human). Its description in RNAcentral is "HSALNT0250431". The record is from RNAcentral. Lineage: Eukaryota; Metazoa; Chordata; Mammalia; Primates; Hominidae.
GCAUGACACCAGCAUCUGCUUCUGGUUGGGCCUUAGAAAGUUUACAAUCAUAACAAAAGGUAGAGGGAGAGCCAGGAGUGUCACAUGGCCAGAGGAAACAAGAGAGAGAGAGGGAAGGGGUGCCACGCUCUUUUUAACAACCAGAUUUUAUGCAUCAAUCCAUUCAUGAGAGAUCCAUCCCCAUAACCCAAACACUCCCAGUAGGCUCUACCUCCAACACUGGGGAUCACAUUUCAACAUGAGAUUUGGAAGGGCCAAAAUAUCCAAACUGUGUCAGAAUCCAAACAUGGGCUGUUUGAUUACGUGGAAAAUUGUCCAGGUUUCCUUAUCGCUCAUGAAACUCUUUUAUAUCCAUCCUACAGAGAGAUGACUCAUGGCCCAGGUGAAAUUCAGGUCCAAGCUCUGGAGAGUGUGUGGGGACUGGUGAAAAGACAUGGUUUUAUUGUUAUCUGUUUAGUUCCUGCUGCGGAAGAUGAGACUCUCGCUCUCUUUGUCAUUUCCCCACAUGCACAGAAACACACAUAUUUCUACUUUUCUCAUCCUCUCAACAGGCUAUCAUAACUUUGGUUAAAUCAAUAGUCAGUGUUUGUAUAUUAUUAUUGGAUAAAUAUUACUUACAGUGGAACCCAUUUUGUGUAUGAUUAGAUAUUCUUUCUUGUAGAACUUUAUGUUUAUCCAGGAGUUAAUACUUAUCUGAUUAUUUUCAGUUGCUUAAUGUCCUAUACACCUGUUAUUAAUUUAUGCUGAACUCUCCAACAGAAACUGAAAUCUUGUCUUACUAUGUUUAAACACAUUGGGUAUUCUACAAGUUUCUUUUCUUAUUUAUGUAUAAUUCUCCUAGGGCUUUCCAUCUUCCUGCUCUAGUCUAAACUGGUUGUUCUCUAGGCCAGUGGCAAUGUUAUCAUCCUGAUAUUCUCCUUCACCAUCAGCCUGGGAGUUCUGUUGGUUUUUCUCCUGUAUGGAAUCCUCUAUUUCCUGUUAUUUUUAAAAACUUGGUGUCAACCCUAAUUUUCAUGGGUAUAUUUAUGCAAUAACUUUUCAGAAAAAGAUACAAAAAAAGCAACAUUUUUUUUCCUGUGAUUUUGCUUACUUGAAAAUAUCUUUAUUCCAUGGGUCAGCCAACUAUAGGCUGUAGGCUAAAAUCCUCCCAUUUUAGUGAAUAAGGUUUUAUUAGAAUACAGCCACAUCCAUUUGUUUACUUAUUAUAUAUUAUGCCACAAUGGAAGAUUUGAGAAAUUGCAAUAAAGAACAUUUAGAUGAUAAAAUCUACAACAUUUAUUAUCUGGACCUUUACGAAGCAAAUAUUUGCUAACACUUGCUUUAUUCUAUGUUCACACAAAAUUGUUAAUUUUGCUAGAUAUAGAAUUUUAAAGGGCUUUUUUUUUAUCUUCUAGCUUCCAGAGUGAAUGUUUAAUAGCCUUACAACAUUCUGAUUCCUAAUCCUUUAUAUAAAAACUGUUAUUUUGUUUGUUUUUGGAAGCUUCUGAAACCUUCUCCUUGUUCUUGGUAUGAACACUUGUUUUUCUAAUGCAAUAAACACAUGAUGAACCCACUCAACAUAAAAUCAAAC